This 378-nucleotide ribosomal RNA is filed under the name Parargissa sp. BOLD:ADF5877. Its description in RNAcentral is "partial 16S ribosomal RNA". The stretch from base 246 to 378 matches the Rfam family "Bacterial large subunit ribosomal RNA", at positions 2473 to 2606 of the family's 2925-position model. The record is from RNAcentral. Lineage: Eukaryota; Metazoa; Arthropoda; Malacostraca; Amphipoda; Parargissidae.
UGACGAAAAGUAUUUUCUUAAGUUUAAAAUAGUAAUUUGAAAUUCAGAUGAAAAUAUUUGAAUGACAUUAGGGGACGAUAAGACCCUAAAAGCUUUAUUUUAAGUAAACUAGGUGUUUUAUUUUAAAUCAAUAGAUAAAUGAAGAAAUUAGCUGGGGUAGUUGGCUUAUGUAAACUAAGUUAUGUAACACAUAGAGUAUGGCGUUUGGUCCUUUAUAUGCGGAAAAUUAGACGAGUUACUUUAGGGAUAACAGCGUAAUAUUUUUGGAGAGAUCUUAUCUAUAAAAAUGAUUGCGACCUCGAUGUUGAAUUAAAAUAUCUUUGUGAGGCAAUAAGUACAAAAGAGGGUUUGUUCAACCUUUAAAUUUUUACAUGAAUU